The sequence is a transfer RNA, 108 nucleotides long. It matches the Rfam family "tRNA". From Rfam's summary of the family: Transfer RNA (tRNA) molecules are approximately 80 nucleotides in length.
GCAUCAUUGGUCUAGUGGUAGAAUUCAUCGUUGCCAAAUCGUGAGUCGAAUUUCGAUUCCCUGAUAUAGUAACUCGAUGAGGCCCGUGUUCGAUUCACGGAUGAUGCA